Non-coding RNA from Maylandia zebra (zebra mbuna), 165 nucleotides. The record is from RefSeq and is a predicted model, not a curated record. NCBI's taxonomy places the organism in Eukaryota, Metazoa, Chordata, Actinopteri, Cichliformes, Cichlidae.
UGGAUGAAUUCAGAUGGAUUCAAAUGUUUUUAUGUCUGAUGCUGAUGAUUCAGAUUGUAGGAUACAACACAGUGAAGUGUGAGGUGACUGAUACAGACACAGGAAGAGUGCAGCCAUUUACCUUCAGCCCUCAGCCCUCAGGUGAGGAAACAGCUGAAGCAAACA